Molecule: unclassified non-coding RNA, 767 nt
Filed under: Hevea brasiliensis (rubber tree)
Lineage: Eukaryota; Viridiplantae; Streptophyta; Magnoliopsida; Malpighiales; Euphorbiaceae
Source: RNAcentral
CCUUCCGCCCUGUUAAACCAGAUGAUCCACUAUUAGACCCAUUCCUUGUACACACAUUGACCUUACGCUUUGAGCCUCGAAGACAGAGACCUGUUGAAGGGCCUGCAGGAACAAAGCAAGAUCUGAGAAGCUUUAAGCUAAUUUUGGAAUAUAUAAAAGCUUUGCCUACUGGGCAAGAAACAGACUUUGUCUUAGUCUCAUGUACAGGAUUGGGGGUGGAACCUAACAGAAGGGAGCAAGUUCUGAAAGCCAAGAGGGCUGGGGAAGACUUGUUGAGACGGUCAGGCCUUGGAUACACAAUCAUUCGUCCUGGUCCUCUAAAGGAAGAGCCUGGUGGUCAAUGCGCACUCAUAUUUGACCAAGGAAACAGGAUUUCUCAGAGCAUUAGCUGUGCCGAUGUGGCCGAUAUCUGUGUGAAGGCGUUGCACGAUUCAACGGCAAGAAACAAAAGCUUUGAUGUUUGUUAUGAAUACGUUGCUGAGCAAGGGAGGGAGCUCUAUGAGCUGGUAGCACAUCUGCCUGACAAAGCUAACAACUAUUUGACACCUGCAUUAUCUGUUUUAGAGAAAAACACUUGACUGCCGAGCACCUGCUUUUUCACCAAGAAACACCGCUGAGUUAUUAGUUUGUAAGAAAACACAACAAAAAGUGGGGAAAAAAAAUGAAACAUAUAUUUUGUUUUUGUAUUGUAAAUUUGUGAUCGUCGGCUGUGGUUGUAUAUGGCUCAAUGUGUUUUUGUAUAUUAAUGUGUGGAUAACAAGUUUUCA